GAUGAACGCUGGCGGCGUGCCUAACACAUGCAAGUCGAACGAAGCACUGCAGACGGAGAUUCGUCGAAGCCUGCUUUGACUUAGUGGCGGACGGGUGAGUAAUGCGUGAGCAACCUGCCUUUCAGAGGGGGACAACAGUUGGAAACGACUGCUAAUACCGCAUAAUGUACAUUGGGGGCAUCCCUGAUGUACCAAAGGAGCAAUCCGCUGAAAGAUGGGCUCACGUCUGAUUAGCUAGUUGGUGAGGUAACGGCUCACCAAGGCUGCGAUCAGUAGCCGGACUGAGAGGUUGAACGGCCACAUUGGGACU
RNAcentral lists this ribosomal RNA (310 nucleotides) under uncultured bacterium. Its description in RNAcentral is "bacterial SSU rRNA". It matches the Rfam family "Bacterial small subunit ribosomal RNA", at positions 28 to 320 of the family's 1533-position model. The record is from RNAcentral.